This is a long non-coding RNA of Papaver somniferum (opium poppy), 1517 nucleotides long. RefSeq lists it as uncharacterized. The transcript is spliced from 4 exons. The record is from RefSeq and is a predicted model, not a curated record. Lineage: Eukaryota; Viridiplantae; Streptophyta; Magnoliopsida; Ranunculales; Papaveraceae.
AAAACGAGAAGAACUCAGGACCCUUACUUCCAGCAGAUCGAGCUGUUGAUUCUAAAAUUUUCUCUCAACUGAUCAUAAUCAUAUAUCGGACCACACAACAUCACUGUCAUUAUCAAGCUAGGUUGGAGAACAAUUACUCGAUUUCAUUUGUAAUUGCUUAAACUCAAUUGAUCAAAUCGAUUGGUCUCAAAAAAUUGAAAUCUCGGGGAUUUUCAACUGAAGUUUGAGAUUUCAAUUGAAAUCCAGAGUUGAAUCAGAUUAUUUGGUUGUCCGUUGGAGAACAGUUACUUGAUUUGCAAAAUCCCCUAAUCGAUUUGUCUGAAAAAAAAUAAAAUCUCGGGGAUUUUGAAUUGAAGUUUGAGAUUCAGAUUGAAUCCAGAGUUGAAUCACAUGAUUGGAUUGUCCAUAUACACAUGCUGAUGCACUUAUGUUCGUAGGAACUAAACCUAGAACUGGGAACUAUGAAUUUCAGGGUGUUUGUUGUUGGUGGUGAAUUGUGGUGAUGGUGGUGGUGAAGUAGCCAGAAACCAAGAGAGAAUCAGAGAUAGAAAUGAAGGUACAAAUAUUUGACAGCAUCUAAAGAAAGUAAUCAGACAAAAGAGAACUCAUAAUACAGUUCCUUCAGUGGGAUCCGACAACGCCCCAAGAAAAAGAUCCCGUGAAAGUCCAACAAAUAUUGAUGUUUCAAUGGAGCUCAACCCGUCCUCUAGAUCCAGACCCCACAAAAGUCCCAAGACUUUUGGAACAUGCUCAAAGUCAAGCAUUGAUGCAAGCACAAAAUGAAAAAGGUAGGUAAACAAAUGAAGUUAAUGGAUUUUUGAUGAGAAUAAGCCCAAAGAGGUAACCGAGACAAAUUAUUUCCACCCAGCAGGCAUGGCUAUCUAGAAAAAACGAGACAAAUGGUACUUCGCCAAGCAUCAGGAGAUAUCAGAGAAUUUUUGUGUCAUUAUUAGACCCAUUACCAUAGUGCUUAUUUUUUUGUAUUACUUUUACCAUGUGUAUUUUUCCGCAAUAAUAGGAAAAUUCAGCUAAAGGCAUGUAUCCAUACAUAUUGGUGCAGUUGCAGUUGUUUUGUUGGUGAAACUGAAAGUAGUUAUUCUGGCGAGUUCUGGAUCGACCAAUUAAUUCACCUUUUUUUCCUUCAUGUGAAGCGAAUAACUAUAAUGAACGGCGCCAUGUGAUGAUGGGACUACCGGUGGUUGAAUGAAAUGAACGGCAGGCGCGACGUGUUAUACUAGUCUUAAUAAAUAAACUUUCAUUAAUUAAACAAUAAAUUUAUUAAUAAAGCAACAUAAUAAUUUGUAAAAUUAUCUUUCCAACCCAUUACAUUUUUCUAAAUAGUAAAAGAAAUUAGGCAUGACCGGGGUGGUAGUGCAUUAAGUCGGUGAAGAUAGUGAUGUGGUGGAAAAUGUAGUGUAAUAGGUGGUUCCUGUGGUGGUAGUGCAGGUUCAGUGUGAUAGUGGAUAAAUGUUUACUUCAUGUCGUUUAGACACAAAUAAAAUUGUUACUAAAGUUGA